UUGGAGGGCAAGUCUGGUGCCAGCAGCCGCGGUAACUCCAGCUCCAAUAGCGUAUAUUAAAGUUGUUGCAGUUAAAAAGCUCGUAGUUGAAUUUCGGGACCAAUUUGUUGGUCGUGCCUCGGUACGUACUGGUAUUAUUGGUUUCUCCCUUCUGAAGAACCUUGAUGUCAUUAAUUUGGUGUCUUGGGGAAUCAGGACUGUUACUUUGAAAAAAUUAGAGUGUUUAAAGCAGGCAUACGCUUGAAUACAUUAGCAUGGAAUAAUGAAAUAGGACGUUUGAUUCUAUUUUGUUGGUUUCUAGGAUCGACGUAAUGAUUAAUAGGGAUAGUUGGGGGCAUUAGUAUUCAAUUGUCAGAGGUGAAAUUCUUGGAUUUAUUGAAGACUAACUACUGCGAAAGCAUUUGCCAAGGAUGUUUUCAUUAAUCAAGAACGAAAGUUAGGGGAUCGAAGACGAUCAGAUACCGUCGUAGUCUUAACCAUAAACUAUGCCGACUAGGGAUCGGAUGAUGUUAUUUUUAAUGACUCAUUCGGCGCCUUACGGGAAACCAAAGUGUUUGGGUUC
RNAcentral lists this ribosomal RNA (562 nucleotides) under uncultured Glomeromycotina. RNAcentral describes it as "SSU rRNA". It matches the Rfam family "Eukaryotic small subunit ribosomal RNA", at positions 548 to 1114 of the family's 1831-position model. The record is from RNAcentral. Lineage: Eukaryota; Fungi; Glomeromycota.